GUAGGGUCAGUACUAAUGCACGUGCUGGUAGGCAUCAUCGACCGGCCAGUGUUAGUUCACAUAAUCAUAAAAUAGAAUCAUAGAAAAGAAAUCAUGACAUCUUAAAUGGAAUAUGAUUCUACUAAGUUUGUAAUAGCAUUAUAACACUUUGUCUAUAAAAUUUCUAAAUUUUCCAAUUCUAUGAAUGCGAUUAUAUUCACAACUGCCAUAGUCUAGCCUUAUUAAUUCACACUAUCCACC
Molecule: long non-coding RNA, 240 nt
Filed under: Capsicum annuum
Lineage: Eukaryota; Viridiplantae; Streptophyta; Magnoliopsida; Solanales; Solanaceae
Description: long non-coding RNA (CANN_LNC006436)
Source: RNAcentral